Mytilus californianus (California mussel) is the source of this 1229-nucleotide long non-coding RNA. RefSeq lists it as uncharacterized. NCBI's taxonomy places the organism in Eukaryota, Metazoa, Mollusca, Bivalvia, Mytilida, Mytilidae. The record is from RefSeq and is a predicted model, not a curated record. The transcript has 2 exons.
AUGUCUUAUAGUGAAUUUGUUUGUAGCAAUUUAUGUCAUAUCACAAUAAGAAUACAAAUCCAGAGGAAAUAAUUGUUUUCAGGCGAUACAGAGGAGUUUUCGGCGACAAAGUUGAUCAAGUGUCAUACAUUCUAUAAAGACUUUUCAAGUCGGGGAGCAGUUGUUUAUCCUAAUUAACCUUACUACGAAAUGUAAUUGGUUAAUGUAGAUAUUCCUCAUGGCAGGUAAUAAUACAACUAUAAAACCUGAUGUUGACAACCAGCCUUCCAACGUUCUGUUAGCUGUGUCUGCUUUUCUGCUGAUAGUAUCCGUAAUGGCUGGAAUUCUUAUUUGCAUAAUACGUCAAAGGAAAGUGGGCACCAUUGAUGAUGACGAAAUCGAAUUAGAAGAACCUAAUUGCGUUGACGAAACAACUAAAUUAACUGGAGAUAAAAACACACUUUGACAUUUCAAUACAAAAUAGCUGUGUCUAGUGUUACAUUCAGAAACUCAGAAGUAAGACUAUAGUAAUUAAUCUCAACUUCAUAUACAAGUCGUAUAGACAACAAAUAUUUCCAUACACAAUAUGAAGUAAGGAUACGCAAUGAUAGAAUGCCUUACAAUAUGUUAAUUAUCAAUACAGGUAUUUUAACUCUAUGAUAAUCGUUUGCCUUUUUAGUGAUUGAAAUCCAAUAUUUGUAUUAUGUUAAAUGAAUUUCUUAUUCGGUAACGGUCAAGUGCAAUAAAUGACCAAAAGUUCAUGUGACACAAAGUGAAGUGCGGCGUUUUCUAGAACCUUAAUGUUAAGAGUAGCCUGUUUCAAGGAAAUUUAAUUAGAAUGGGAUCGAGCAGUAUUUGUCAUCGCCUAAAAUAUUUAUUUUAUCAGUUUAGACAUAAUUUCAUAAGCAUGAUAGAUUAAGUAGAAGAUACCAUUCAAUAUAAUAUAUAAGAUAUCACUUUUACGUUAGGCUAGGAAUGUUUGAUCGUUUGAACUUUAAUGAUGUUUUUUUUUUUUUGGAAUCAUACAUUUUGUUUAAAACUGCAGUUUUCUAUUCUAAUUUCAAUUCUAUUUCAGUUAUGUGACUUUGGUUCCUAUGUUUGGUACAUGCAUAUGUAAUGGGGAAAACAUAUCCUUAAAUCAGUAGAAUUUUCUCUGUUAUUACAUGAAAUUUAGAUGCAUCGAUAAACAGUUUUUCAUAUGUUGUUUCAAUGUAGAUCUUGUAGUAUGAAUUAAAUAUAUUUAAAUAAUC